This 467-nucleotide ribosomal RNA is filed under the name uncultured Streptococcus sp. RNAcentral's name for it is "bacterial SSU rRNA". It matches the Rfam family "Bacterial small subunit ribosomal RNA", at positions 338 to 797 of the family's 1533-position model. Lineage: Bacteria; Bacillati; Bacillota; Bacilli; Lactobacillales; Streptococcaceae. The record is from RNAcentral.
CCUACGGGGGGCAGCAGUAGGGAAUCUUCGGCAAUGGGGGGAACCCUGACCGAGCAACGCCGCGUGAGUGAAGAAGGUUUUCGGAUCGUAAAGCUCUGUUGUAAGAGAAGAACGUGUGUGAGAGUGGAAAGUUCACACAGUGACGGUAACUUACCAGAAAGGGACGGCUAACUACGUGCCAGCAGCCGCGGUAAUACGUAGGUCCCGAGCGUUGUCCGGAUUUAUUGGGCGUAAAGCGAGCGCAGGCGGUUUGAUAAGUCUGAAGUAAAAGGCUGUGGCUUAACCAUAGUAUGCUUUGGAAACUGUCAAACUUGAGUGCAGAAGGGGAGAGUGGAAUUCCAUGUGUAGCGGUGAAAUGCGUAGAUAUAUGGAGGAACACCGGUGGCGAAAGCGGCUCUCUGGUCUGUAACUGACGCUGAGGCUCGAAAGCGUGGGGAGCAAACAGGAUUAGAUACCCUGGUAGUCCA